GAUGAACGCUGGCGGCGUGCCUAAUACAUGCAAGUCGAGCGAACAGACGAGGAGCUUGCUCCUUUGACGUUAGCGGCGGACGGGUGAGUAACACGUAGGUAACCUACCUAUAAGACUGGGAUAACUUCGGGAAACCGGAGCUAAUACCGGAUAAUAUUUCGAACCGCAUGGUUCGAUAGUGAAAGAUGGCUUUGCUAUCACUUAUAGAUGGACCUGCGCCGUAUUAGCUAGUUGGUAAGGUAACGGCUUA
RNAcentral lists this ribosomal RNA (250 nucleotides) under uncultured bacterium. RNAcentral's name for it is "partial 16S ribosomal RNA". It matches the Rfam family "Bacterial small subunit ribosomal RNA", at positions 28 to 267 of the family's 1533-position model. The record is from RNAcentral.